RNAcentral lists this transfer RNA (110 nucleotides) under Branchiostoma floridae (Florida lancelet). It matches the Rfam family "tRNA". Rfam says of the family: Transfer RNA (tRNA) molecules are approximately 80 nucleotides in length. Their secondary structure includes four short double-helical elements and three loops (D, anti-codon, and T loops). Further hydrogen bonds mediate the characteristic L-shaped molecular structure. tRNAs have two regions of fundamental functional importance: the anti-codon, which is responsible for specific mRNA codon recognition, and the 3' end, to which the tRNAs corresponding amino acid is attached (by aminoacyl-tRNA synthetases). tRNAs cope with the degeneracy of the genetic code in two manners: having more than one tRNA (with a specific anti-codon) for a particular amino acid; and 'wobble' base-pairing, i.e. permitting non-standard base-pairing at the 3rd anti-codon position. Lineage: Eukaryota; Metazoa; Chordata; Leptocardii; Amphioxiformes; Branchiostomatidae. The record is from Rfam by way of RNAcentral.
GGGCUGGUAGCGUAAUGGAUAUCGCGUCUGACUUCGGCUCGCCUCCGUGUUGAACACGUACGGAAGGAGUGGUGAUCAGAAGGUUGCAGGUUCGAAUCCUGUCCAGCUCG